This 20-nucleotide microRNA is filed under the name Macaca mulatta (Rhesus monkey). RNAcentral describes it as "mml-miR-384". Its record names the gene mml-miR-384. RNAcentral also lists the same sequence under 1 other name. The record is from miRBase by way of RNAcentral. Lineage: Eukaryota; Metazoa; Chordata; Mammalia; Primates; Cercopithecidae.
AUUCCUAGAAAUUGUUCAUA